This 77-nucleotide transfer RNA is filed under the name Deltaproteobacteria bacterium. Its description in RNAcentral is "tRNA-Trp". It matches the Rfam family "tRNA". Rfam says of the family: Transfer RNA (tRNA) molecules are approximately 80 nucleotides in length. Lineage: Bacteria; Pseudomonadati; Myxococcota; Myxococcia. The record is from RNAcentral.
GGGUCAGUAGCUCGAAUUGGCAGAGCACCGGACUCCAAAUCCGGGGGUUGCAGGUUCGAAUCCUGCCUGACCCGCCU